CAGUAGCCACGGGAAUACGAAGGGGGCUAGCGUUGUUCGGAUUUACUGGGCGUAAAGCGCACGUAGGCGGAUCGAUCAGUCAGGGGUGAAAUCCCAGAGCUCAACUCUGGAACUGCCUUUGAUACUGUCGAUCUGGAGUAUGGAAGAGGUGAGUGGAAUUCCGAGUGUAGAGGUGAAAUUCGUAGAUAUUCGGAGGAACACCAGUGGCGAAGGCGGCUCACUGGUCCAUUACUGACGCUGAGGUGCGAAAGCGUGGGGAGCAAACAGGAUUAGAUACCCGUGUAGUCCCUGUCUCUUAUAC
Molecule: ribosomal RNA, 301 nt
Filed under: uncultured bacterium
Lineage: Bacteria
Description: partial 16S ribosomal RNA
Rfam family: Bacterial small subunit ribosomal RNA
Source: RNAcentral